GUUAGCGGCGGGCUUAACACAUGCAAGUCGAACGAGAAAGAGUCCUUCGGGGCUCGAGUACAGUGGCGCACGGGUGAGUAACACGUGGGUAAUCUACCCUCCGGCGGGGGACAACUACUGGAAACGGUGGCUAAUACCGCGUACGGCUGGAGGCUCUUCGGAGCUUUCAGAGAAAGGCUUCGGCCACCGGAGGAUGAGCCCGCGUCCCAUCAGCUUGUUGGUGAGGUAACGGCUCACCAAGGCUAAGACGGGUAGCUGGUCUGAGAGGAUGAUCAUGCCACACUGGGACUGAGACACGGCCCAGACUCCUACGGGAGGCAGCAGUGGGGAAUAUUGGACAAUGGGCGAAAGCCUGAUCCAGCCACGCCGCGUGUGUGAUGAAGGCCCUCGGGUCGUAAAGCACUGUGGGGAGGGAAGAACACAAUGACGGUACCUCCUUAGCAAGCACCGGCUAACUCCGUGCCAGCAGCCGCGGUAAUACGGAGGGUGCAAACGUUGCUCGGAAUCAUUGGGCGUAAAGCGCGCGUA
RNAcentral lists this ribosomal RNA (528 nucleotides) under uncultured Pseudomonadota bacterium. RNAcentral's name for it is "bacterial SSU rRNA". It matches the Rfam family "Bacterial small subunit ribosomal RNA", at positions 35 to 573 of the family's 1533-position model. The record is from RNAcentral. Lineage: Bacteria; Pseudomonadati; Pseudomonadota.